CAUUUAAGGAGAGAGAGGACAGGGAUGGGAGAGCAGGUUGGGUUUCCUUUCAGAUAAGCUCGUUGCAAGUUGCCUCCGCGUCCCCGUGGGUGGUACUUUUCAGACGGAGGGAUCUCAGAUUGCUUUCCUAACAUUACUCUCAACCACUGGCCGGGCUCGUGUCCUGACUUCACCCAGCUGCGAUGCUCAGCACAUCUGGAAGAAACAUGUUUUUUGAGGGUCUGAAUGGGGAAAAGAGGGAUUUUCCAUCGCACUCGAGUGACUCCUAACGGGCUCCGUCCUCCCAUAAUAAGGGAUAUUUUACGAGGGGCCCCGUGCCUGCAAACCACCGCCUGGCAUCUUUUCAGCAACCUCCCGGGGUAUUUCUACAUGGCAGAAAAAUAACCCACAUCUCUGCUAAAGGUACUUUGAGAGAUCUGGUUAACGCGUGCUCUGCUGCUUUUUCUUGAACGGUGAUCCAACGGCUUCGGAGCUACAGUGCGAGGAGCCAGACAGAGGUUUUGGAGACGAUUUUCACACCUGGGUUGGUACCUUUUGCACUUCCGGAGCUGAAAUUCCCUCCGCUGGUGCUCAGACCACUGCCGCCACCUGCUCCGUAGC
This is a long non-coding RNA of Chroicocephalus ridibundus (black-headed gull), 600 nucleotides long. RefSeq lists it as uncharacterized. The transcript is spliced from 3 exons. NCBI's taxonomy places the organism in Eukaryota, Metazoa, Chordata, Aves, Charadriiformes, Laridae. The record is from RefSeq and is a predicted model, not a curated record.